CAAGUUUUCACCUCUCUUCCCAUCUGCUUCGCAAGCAUGUGUUCGUCCAAGUCUGAGCUCAGCUCCGCCCCGCCGGCGUCACACCACUGCUCCACCCAGAUGCCACCGCUGCCUCUGAUCCGCUGUCCGGAGUGCAACGCCGGCAACGUGCUCUGGUUCGUCUCUGGAACGGUGGAGAACCCAGGGAGGCAUUUCUACAAGUGCGAACGCCAUGGAUUUGGUGGAUGCAGGUUUUGAAAGUGGGAGAACAAGUAUAUACAGCACUUCAGCAACCGCUGGGGUCACCUGCUCUCGCACGCAUCCGUGUAUCGGCAUGUAACUUUGCUUGAGCAGAAUCAAGCAUGGUUGAAGAACAUUUUCAUCUUGGGCGUCCUGAACAUGGUGCUAAUGGCCAUAUGCUGCAUGCACUAGUUCUGAAGCAUCAUGUUGUUAUCGGGCAGAACUGCAAGUAGAAGUUCUGCGAGCUACUGCGCACAAGAUGUAGUUCCAACAUUUGUACUGGAUUUAGCAGUUCAAGCAUUUGUACUGGAGUCGGUAGUUCCAGCUUUUAUACUGGAUUAGGUGUAUUGUACUGGAUUAGAUGUAGUUCCAGCAUUCAGCAGUCCUCUCUUAUGCAUUCAGUUGUACUACGUAUGCACCGUGCCUGUAUGCCGCUUUAGAUGUAUUAAACGGUAUUUGUUUGCGAGCA
Aegilops tauschii subsp. strangulata is the source of this 688-nucleotide long non-coding RNA. RefSeq lists it as uncharacterized. The record is from RefSeq and is a predicted model, not a curated record. Lineage: Eukaryota; Viridiplantae; Streptophyta; Magnoliopsida; Poales; Poaceae.